Molecule: ribosomal RNA, 446 nt
Filed under: uncultured bacterium
Lineage: Bacteria
Description: bacterial SSU rRNA
Rfam family: Bacterial small subunit ribosomal RNA
Source: RNAcentral
ACCAGACUCCUACGGGAGGCAGCAGUGGGGAAUAUUGCACAAUGGGCGAACGCCUGAUGCAGCCACGCCGCGUGAAGGAAGACGGUUUUCGGAUUGCAAACUUCUUUUCUUAGUGAAGAAUAAUGACGGUAACUAAGGAGCAAGCCACGGCUAACUACGUGCCAGCAGCCGCGGUAAUACGUAGGCGGCAAGCGUUGUCCGGAAUUACUGGGUGUAAAGGGAGCGUAGGCGGGAAGCCAAGUCAGCUGUGAAAACUACGGGCUUAACCUGUAGACUGCAGUUGAAACUGGCUUUCUUGAGUGAAGUAGAGGUUGGCGGAAUUCCGAGUGUAGCGGUGAAAUGCGUAGAUAUUCGGAGGAACACCGGUGGCGAAGGCGGCCAACUGGGGUUUAACUGACGCUGAGGCACGAAAGCGUGGGUAGCAAACAGGAUUAGAUACCCCAGUA